Molecule: ribosomal RNA, 468 nt
Filed under: uncultured bacterium
Lineage: Bacteria
Description: partial 16S ribosomal RNA
Rfam family: Bacterial small subunit ribosomal RNA
Source: RNAcentral
GACGAACGCUGGCGGCGUGCUUAACACAUGCAAGUCGAACGGAAAGGCCCUGCUUUUGUGGGGUGCUCGAGUGGCGAACGGGUGAGUAACACGUGAGUAACCUGCCCUUUACUUUGGGAUAACUUCAGGAAACUGGGGCUAAUACCGGAUAGGAUCUCCUGCUGCAUGGUGGGGGUUGGAAAGUUUCGGCGGUUGGGGAUGGACUCGCGGCUUAUCAGCUUGUUGGUGGGGUAGUGGCUUACCAAGGCUUUGACGGGUAGCCGGCAUGAGAGGGUGACCGGACACAUUGGGACUGAGAUACGGCCCAGACUCCUACGGGAGGCAGCAGUGGGGAAUAUUGCACAAUGGGCGGAAGCGUGAUGCAGCAACGCCGCGUGCGGGAUGACGGCCUUCGGGUUGUAAACAGCUUUCGACUGUGACGAAGCGUGAGUGACGGUAAUGGGUAAAGAAGCACCGGCUAACUACGUG